Molecule: long non-coding RNA, 2639 nt
Filed under: Equus caballus (horse)
Lineage: Eukaryota; Metazoa; Chordata; Mammalia; Perissodactyla; Equidae
Description: lncRNA (ENSECAG00000045223.1)
Source: RNAcentral
UUUGCAGAUGUCAUAAAGGUAAGAAUUGAGAUGAGAUCAUACUGGACUAGGGUGGACCCUAAAUUCAAUGACUGGUGUCAUGAUAAGAAGCAGAAAUAGGGGCCAGCCCCCUAGCAUAGCUGUUAAAUUCGGCAUGCUCUGCUUGGGCAGCCUGGGUUUGUGGGUUAGGAUCUCAGGCACGGACCUACACCACUAGUCAGCCAUGCUGUGGUGGCAACAGUCAUAUAAAGUGAAGGAAGAUUGGCACAGAUGUUAGCUCAGGAUUAAUCUUCCUCAGGGGAAAAAUAAAAAAGAAAGAAACAGAUACACAGAUAUACAAGAAAGAAGGUCGUGUGAAGACGCAGGCAGAGACUGGAGCUAUGCUGCCACAAGCCACAGGAAUCCGGGAGCCACUAGAAGCUGGAAAAGCUUGGGAAAGCCCUGGACCUGUCUGACCGGCAAAGAAGCCAGUGGCCUUCCUUCCAAGUAUCUCCAAGAGGAGCAGGCUCAGAUGGACGUUAGGAGGCUUGGUCAGGCCCCAGCAGGAAACAGAAAGACACUCAGCUGGGAUUAUGAAGGUAAGUGAAUGAAUGGGCCAUUUGCAGAGGUGUGACAAGGUUAAGGGAAUCAAUAAGGACUGCUGAGGAGGCUGGAGAUGCGCCACAGCAGGAAGCUAUUCCCAGCCCCAGGCCUGAAGAGGGGCUUGGCAAAAAGGUAAGAGUUGGAGUAAGAAUUGGAGCCAUGCAUGGGGCUGCCCAGAAGGAACUACGGUCGUAGAAUCAAAGCCAGGCAGGGAAGGAGUGAGCAGAAUGAAUACUCCAACCAGUCUCUCACUGCUUCUGAUCUCCUCCCAAAGCUUCCUGUUAAUCUAACCCAAACUGGAAGGCAGAGAGCGAGGCAGCCCUGUGACACCAUCCACAGGGAUCCAUCUCCUAAAGCACAGAGCAGGCAGAAAAUGGGUCUUGGGUUGGGAGCAAAGCAAAAUCAUAAAGCCAGCAGAGGGGGUGUGGUAGAUGUUACACUCCAUCUACAAUAUGAAUCCUGAUUUCACUGCUUGUGCCUGUGUGAUCUUGGGCAAGUCACUAGCUCUCUGAGCCUGGUUCUCUUCUUGGGGGCUAAUCAUAGCCUCUUAAUGGAGUGGUUGUGAGGCUUAAAUGAGGUGCCUUGUGGGAAAGUGCCAAACACAUACUAGGUGCUUAUCAAGGUCAGUUUCCCCUCCUUCAGAGCCCCUCUCCCAAGCUCUGCUGAAUUGGAGGCACCAGGGCAGAGUGGAACGGAGAAAAUAUACAGGCUCAGAUCUGGACCCUGGCUCCACAGCUACCACCUGCAUGACCUUGAACAAGUCACUUGUCCUCUCUAACUUUGUUUUCUUAACAGUAAAAAGGGAAGAUCCUGCUCAUAAGGUUGUUGUGAGAAUUAGAAAUUGUCACCUAGUAAGGUAUUGGGCUCAUGGUAGGUAGACCUUGGAGUCACACUAAUUCAAACCCCAAGCCCCUUCUUGUUAAUCACGUGACCCUGGUCAAGUUUUUGAAUCUAUCUGAGCCUCAGUUUCUUCAUCUAUAACAUGUGGAUGAUAAAAACACCUUUCUCUUAGGGUUGUGAUAAUGAAAUGUAGUGGGCACUAAACAUACCAGGCGGAGUCAACCCUCAAAGUUUGCUGUUGGUAUUCAUCGUUACUGUCAUCAGUGCUGCAAUGUCCCUGUGUUUCUUUCUCCAGUCAAACAUCCAACCCCUCUCCUGAGACCCCAAAGUCUUUACUAGAGAAAGGCCAAUAGAGAAUGGGAGGAGGGGAGAUAGACAGCAAAUCCCAAGGGGAGGGGUUCAGGGCAGGCGGAUGGCUCAGCCUGGUUGACAAACACCCUUGCCCAGCACACGCAUGCAGAUAUGAGGUUCAGUUCAAUACUUGGCCUGUAACUCGUCCUGGCCCUCCUCCACCCGGUCACCCAGACCACAGGAAGGACUGUCCUGCUUUCCUAUCACCCCUAGGGCUGCCUAGUGCCUUGUUGUGACUCUGGCUGGCUUUCAGUUGGAUGAAAACAGAGGGAAGAGGGGAUUGUAUGGUAUGACUAGACCUGAAACUGUCUCCCUCCAAUAAUAACUUAUUAAACACUCCCUAUGAGCUAGGUACCGUUGGAGACUUAGUGUAAUUAACUCUCAUCAAUUUCAACAAUAUCAUGAAAUUAGUAACGUUGGAAUAGUAACAUUACUGAUAUUGGAAGUUGAAGCCCAGAGAGGUUAGGGAACAUGGCCAGCAUCACACAGACAGUAGUGGGUGGAGUCCUCAUUUGAAAUCAGGUCUGAUUGUUCCUAAAGGCCAAGCUUGGGCAGCCAUGCCAGGUGGGCUCCCAGAUGAAUGGCCCAUGUGUUGAACAUCAGUGGAGAUGAUGAAACAGGCGUGGAGAGGAUGAGUAACUUUCCCAAGGGCUGAACUAGCAUCUUAAUGCCUCACAUUUAAAAGCAUGGAACGUGAGCUUUGGAUCUGGCUCCCAGUUCAAGUGUUCUGACCAUCACUCUAGCUAUUAAUAUCCUGCAAUCCAUAGAAUUCAUGUUGGGGAACAUUGUCCUAGCAGAAGAGAUCCCUAGUUCCAUUGACCUAAUGGAAGAGAACCCGAGUUCCACAAACCCCUUAAUGGGCAUCCACUUCUGAGCAAUCAAUAAAG